This 279-nucleotide unclassified non-coding RNA is filed under the name plant metagenome. RNAcentral describes it as "partial contains small subunit ribosomal RNA, internal transcribed spacer 1, and 5.8S ribosomal RNA". The record is from RNAcentral.
UUUCCGUAGGUGAACCUGCGGAAGGAUCAUUAUUGUAUAACCGAUGUACGAGGGCUGUCGUUUACCCUAAAGGUCGUUCACGCCCGAGUUCCCUCAGACACAUCCAUAUCACCGCUAUGUAUACCACCGCGUGCGUCCCCCUUUGUCUUGCUCGAUUGAGUGCUUACGUUUUCACACAAACUUUAUAUGCAAUGUAGAAUGUAUAUAUUAUUUUUACGAACACGCACUUAAUACAACUUUCAACAAAGGAUCUCUUGACUCUCGAAUAGAAGAAGAAUG